RNAcentral lists this non-coding RNA (22 nucleotides) under Arabidopsis thaliana (thale cress). Lineage: Eukaryota; Viridiplantae; Streptophyta; Magnoliopsida; Brassicales; Brassicaceae. The record is from RNAcentral.
AUCAUAUGGAAAGAGUUGGCCA